RNAcentral lists this unclassified non-coding RNA (302 nucleotides) under plant metagenome. RNAcentral's name for it is "partial contains small subunit ribosomal RNA, internal transcribed spacer 1, and 5.8S ribosomal RNA". The record is from RNAcentral.
UUUCCGUAGGUGAACCUGCGGAAGGAUCAUUGAACCAAUCGAACCCACACACACACCCGGUCACUUUUUAGCCCCCGAGCCUGUCAUGGGCUCGGGCACCGAUUGGGCCGGACGGCCAGGCUGCACGCCAUGGGCCGCUCCGGGGGCCGGUGGGUCGGAUGGCGGGCGCUCUCGGCGCCCGCGCGUCCGACUGGCGCCCGGCUUUCUCUAUCCAAACACAUACCGAGCCAAUGCGCGGCCGACCCGCCGGGUCGCCGCACCCAAACAAAUGACAACUCUCAACAACGGAUAUCUUGGCCCCC